CGGGAGGAGCUACCCUGUAGGGCUUCUGCCCCGCGGGUCCUCCCGCCGCCCGCCGGCGGCCUUCUGAACUCUGUUUUAUAGUGGAACUUCUGAGGAUUAUACUUAAUAAGUUAAAACUUUCAACAACGGAUCUCUUGGUUCUGGCAUCGAUGAAGAACGCAGCGAAAUGCGAUAAGUAAUGUGAAUUGCAGAAUUCAGUGAAUCAUCGAAUCUUUGAACGCACAUUGCGCCCAUUAGUAUUCUAGUGGGCAUGCCUGUUCGAGCGUCAUUUCAAACCAUCAAGCCCUAUUUUUUGCUUGGUGUUGGGAGAUUUCUGGGCCGACGCGCCCUGGAACUCCUCAAAUCUAUCGGCGGAGUCGUGUUGACCCCAAGCGUAGUAACUAAUCUUCUCGCUUCAAGGGCUGACACGGGCUUGCGCCCCGCUAAACCCCACCAUUUUUUUUUUUAGNCUUGACCUCGGAUCA
RNAcentral lists this unclassified non-coding RNA (464 nucleotides) under Sordariomycetes sp. 2 MS-2015. Its description in RNAcentral is "sequence contains 18S rRNA gene, ITS1, 5.8S rRNA gene, ITS2, 28S rRNA gene". The stretch from base 115 to 268 matches the Rfam family "5.8S ribosomal RNA". The record is from RNAcentral. Lineage: Eukaryota; Fungi; Ascomycota; Sordariomycetes.